GUGGGGAAUCUUGCGCAAUGGGCGAAAGCCUGACGCAGCCAUGCCGCGUGGAUGAUGAAGGUCUUAGGAUUGUAAAAUUCUUUCACCGGGGACGAUAAUGACGGUACCCGGAGAAGAAGCCCCGGCUAACUUCGUGCCAGCAGCCGCGGUAAUACGAAGGGGGCUAGCGUUGCUCGGAAUUACUGGGCGUAAAGGGCGCGUAGGCGGACAGUUUAGUCAGAGGUGAAAGCCCAGGGCUCAACCUUGGAAUUGCCUUUGAUACUGGCUGUCUUGAGUACGGGAGAGGUGAGUGGAACUCCGAGUGUAGAGGUGAAAUUCGUAGAUAUUCGGAAGAACACCAGUGGCGAAGGCGACUCACUGGCCCGUUACUGACGCUGAGGCGCGAAAGCGUGGGGAGCAAACAGGAUUAGAUACCCCAGUAGUCC
RNAcentral lists this ribosomal RNA (425 nucleotides) under uncultured bacterium. RNAcentral's name for it is "partial 16S ribosomal RNA". It matches the Rfam family "Bacterial small subunit ribosomal RNA", at positions 354 to 796 of the family's 1533-position model. The record is from RNAcentral.